CCUACGGGAGGCAGCAGUGAGGAAUAUUGGUCAAUGGGCGGGAGCCUGAACCAGCCAAGUCGCGUGAGGGAAGACGGUCCUAUGGAUUGUAAACCUCUUUAGGCGGGGAGCAAUGCCGGGCACGCGUGCCCGGAGGGAGAGUACCCGCAGAAUAAGCAUCGGCUAACUCCGUGCCAGCCGCCGCGGUAAUACGGAGGAUGCGAGCGUUAUCCGGAUUUAUUGGGUUUCAAGGUUGCGUAGGCGGAUUUUUAAGUCAGCGGUAAAAUGUCCGGGCUCAACCCGGGCCGGCCGUUGAAAUGGGGGAUCAUUAGUGGGCGAGAAGUAUGCGGAAUGCGUGGUGUAGAGGUGAAAUGCAUAGAUAGCACGCAGAACUCCGAUUGCGAAGGCAGCAUACCGGCGCCCGACUGACGCUGAGGCACGAAAGCGUGGGGAUCGAACAGGAUUAGAUACCCGAGUAGUC
RNAcentral lists this ribosomal RNA (460 nucleotides) under uncultured bacterium. RNAcentral's name for it is "partial 16S ribosomal RNA". It matches the Rfam family "Bacterial small subunit ribosomal RNA", at positions 338 to 795 of the family's 1533-position model. The record is from RNAcentral.